AGAGGAUGAUCAGCCACACUGGGACUGAGACACGGCCCAGACUCCUACGGGAGGCAGCAGUGGGGAAUAUUGGACAAUGGGGGCAACCCUGAUCCAGCAAUGCCGCGUGUGUGAAGAAGGCCUGCGGGUUGUAAAGCACUUUCAGUGGGGAAGAUGGGCUGCGUGUAACGAGCGCGGUUUGACGUUACCCACAGAAGAAGCACCGGCUAACUCCGUGCCAGCAGCUGCGGUAAUACGGAGGGUGCAAGCAUUAAUCGGAUUUAUUGGGCGUAAAGGGCGCGUAGGCGGCAAUGUAAGUCAGGGGUGAAAUUCCGCAGCUCAACUGCGGAGCAGCACUUGAAACUACAUAGCUAAAGUAUAGGCGGAGAAAAUGGAAUUUCACAUGUAGCGGUGAAAUGCGUAGAUAUGUGAAGGAACACCGGUGGCGAAAGCGGUUUUCUAGCCUAUAACUGACGCUGAGGAGCGAAAGCAAGGGGAGCAAACAGGAUUAGAUACCCUGGUAGUCCUUGCCGUAAACGAUGUAUACUUGAUGUAGUUGGAAUCAACCCCAGCUGUGUCGGAGCUCACGCGAUAAGUAUACCGCCUGGGGAGUACGCUCGCAAGGGUGAAACUCAAAAGAAUUGACGGGGACCCGCACAGGCAGUGGUGCAUGUGGUUUAAUUCGAUGCAACGCGAAGAACCUUACCCAGACUUGACAUGCAGAGGACGAUAUUAGAAAUAAUAUUUCCCUUCGGGGCCUCUGUGCAGGUGCUGCAUGGCUGUCGUCAGCUCGUGCCGUGAGGUGUUGGGUUAAGUCCCGCAACGAGCGCAACCCUUAUCAUUAGUUGCCAACGCGUAAAGGCGGGGACUCUAGUGAGACUGCCUGGGUUAACCAGGAGGAAGGUGAGGAUGACGUCAAGUCCGCAUGGCCCUUAUGUCUGGGGCUACACACGUGCAACAAUGGUUGGUACAGAAGGCAGCGAAGCCGCGAGGUGGAGCAAAUCCUAAAAAGCCAAUCUCAGUUCGAAUAGUAGUCUGCAAUUCGACUACUUGAAGUUGGAAUUGCUAGUAAUGGCGUGUCAACUACAACGCCGUGAAUACGUUCCCGGGUCUUGUACACACCGCCCGUCACAUCAUGGAAGUCGGUCUUACCCGAAGUCGCUGACCCAACCGUAAGGGGGGAGGUGCCGAAGGUGAGGUUGAUGACUGGGAUGAAGUCGUAACAAGGUA
RNAcentral lists this ribosomal RNA (1209 nucleotides) under metagenome. RNAcentral describes it as "bacterial SSU rRNA". It matches the Rfam family "Bacterial small subunit ribosomal RNA", at positions 295 to 1498 of the family's 1533-position model. The record is from RNAcentral.